Molecule: unclassified non-coding RNA, 2322 nt
Filed under: Anneissia japonica
Lineage: Eukaryota; Metazoa; Echinodermata; Crinoidea; Comatulida; Comatulidae
Description: isocitrate dehydrogenase [NAD] subunit gamma, mitochondrial-like, transcript variant X1
Source: RNAcentral
CGUAUUUUUACCUUUAUAAACUUUGACCUUAAAAUGGCUACGCGCUGCAGAAUGUUCGCUAAGAAGUCAAUAUUCAAUGUUUAUCGGCAUUUAAAUUAUCUCUCUUGUAUUAAUAAGGGGAACUUGCCCAAUGUUGUAUCGGUGUGCUUUGGUCAGAAAAGAUGUGCAUCAACUAUGGAAGAUAUUCAUAAAUCUUUGCCCACUGCAGCAAAGUAUGGUGGUAGACACACAGUGACUCUUAUUCCUGGUGAUGGAAUUGGUCCAGAACUCAUGGUACACGUCAAAGAUGUAUUCAGGUAUGCUGGGGCGCCAAUAGACUUUGAAGAGUUUCUUUUGAGCGGUGAAAGAGAAGAUGCUGAAUCGGUAGAGCAGGCAAUAAUAGCAGUGAAAAGAAACGGAGUAGCACUCAAAGGCAACGUCCACACCAACCUGGACACACUUCAAAUUAAUGACAAGUCAGAUAAUGUUACUCUUAGGAAAAACUUGGAUCUGUUUGCAAAUGUUAUUCAUUGUAAGAGCUACCCGGGGAUUAAAACAAGGCAUGAUGAUAUUGAUAUUGUUGUCAUCCGGGAAAACACUGAAGGAGAAUAUUCAAGUCUAGAGCAUGAAAAUGUUGAUGGUGUUGUAGAAAGUUUAAAGAUAAUUACUCAUGCCAAAUCAAAACGAAUAGCUGAAUAUGCUUUUGAUUAUGCGAGAAGCAACGGAAGGAAGAAGGUUACCGCAGUCCACAAAGCAAAUAUUAUGAAGCUUGGAGAUGGGUUGUUUUUGCAGACGUGUCGAGAUGUUGCCUCUGCGAAUCCAGAUAUUGAGUUUGAAGACAUGAUCGUGGACAAUUGCUGUAUGCAGAUGGUAUCCAAUCCAAGUCAGUUUGAUGUCAUGGUGAUGCCAAACCUUUACGGAAACAUAGUCGGCAAUAUUGGAGCUGGACUUGUUGGGGGCCCAGGAAUCGUUCCUGGACAGAAUUUAGGCGACAGAUAUUCUGUGUUUGAAACGGCCACCAGAAACACAGGGAAGACCAUAGCUGGUCUUAACAUGGCCAACCCAACUGCAAUGCUUCUGGCCAGCUGUCAGAUGCUGGACCAUCUAAACCUCAACCAGCAUGCUGCCCUCAUUAGAAAUUCUGUCAUGGAGACGCUCACAAAGAAGGAGAACCACACACCGGAUCUUGGUGGACAAGCAACAACAAGAGAAGUGAUACAAAGUAUCAUAGAUCAGAUUGAACUCACUGGUAAAGGGUCGCAUAUGUAAACUGGCUGAAAUAAAAUAGUAUAAUAAUUUAUAGAUAUGAAACUUUAUGGUAUGUAUUUUAGUGAUAACCUAUGUGCAUACAAAUAUGAAAUUGCAUAGAGUACAGAAGUGUGACGUCAUGACAGACAAUCGCGGUCUGGUUGAAGGAACCGGCUCCGAAUGCUACAAGCCUGUAUUGUGGAGUUCUCAAUGUAUUUAAUGACUGGGCAGUACAGAUGGGCACAAAAGAGAUUCAAAAUCAUUACUUUCCUGAACACAACAUUGAUGUUGAGUAGAAUCUACUAUCUGCGUUUAAUGCCACAAUUUAUAAGGCCACCAUAAUGUUUAUCCAAGUAAAUGUUGCCCAGGAUGAAUUACAGGCGUUUUCGUGAACGGAGAAGUUAAAGUGGAGAAAGCGAUUCGGUAAAUCUUUCUGUGUGCGUGCAACUACCACAAAGUAUACGCAAUUAGAUGGACCACUAUGCGUAAAAUCCUACUUGUAUGUCGUUGCUUGGUAAAACAUAAUUCGUAUUUAAAUCCAAAGUUGGAACGGCAAUGGGAUUGCCCAAGGUAAAGUUAAUCUUUGUCUUCACGAUCAAAUAUCUUUCAAUGUAAAACACGGCUUUAGUGAUGGUGUUUAAAAAUAUACAAUCUCUGUCUGGUAAAUUCUAUAGAAAUCCUCAAGCAAUUUUAUCUAUUACUAAUAUUGCCCAAAGCCCCACUGGUGGAGCAAAACAGAAUGGAAUCAUGGAUAUACAGUGAUUGCGAUAUUACCAGACGAUAUUUAUAUUUAUUUUUAGUUUAAAUUGAUUUGUCUAAUAUUUAAAAUGAAAAUGAAUGAGAAUGUUGAUUAAUGAUAUAAAAAUAUAUAUAGUAUCAUUGCAUGUAUUAAGAAAUAUAGAGCACACUCGUACAUUAUUUAGUUCUGUAAAUUUAUGUUUUAAAUAUUAUAUUAGAUAUCACCUAAAACAAAUAAUAUAACAACAGCAUACAUAUCGAGAUGUAGGGCUACACAUUAAACUUUAAAAACAGUAUCCUGUCAUAUUUUGUACCGUGCCAAUUUUAUAUUAAAUUGAUGCCUUUUGCAAAGCACAA